GAUGAACGCUGGCGGCGUGCCUAAUACAUGCAAGUCGAGCGAACAGACGAGGCGCUUGCUCCUCUGCCGUUAGCGGCGGACGGGUGAGUAACACGUAGAUAACCUAUCUAUAAGACUGGGAUAACUUCGGGAACCCGGAGCUAAUAUCGGAUAAUAUAUUGAACCGCAUGGUUCAAUAGUGAAAGACGGAUUUGCUGUCACUUAUACAUGGUUCCGCGCCGCAUUAGCUAGUUGGUAAGGUAACGGCUUACCAAGGCAACGAUGCGUAGCCGACCUGAGAGGGUGAUCGGCCACACUGGAACUGAGACACGGUCCAGACUCCUACGGGAGGCAGCAGUAGGGAAUCUUCCGCAAUGGGCGAAAGCCUGACGGAGCAACGCCGCGUGAGUGAUGAAGGUCUUCGGAUCGUAAAACUCUGUUAUUAGGGAAGAACAAAUGUGUAAGUAACUAUGCACGUCUUGACGGUACCUAAUCAGAAAGCCACGGCUAACUACGUG
Molecule: ribosomal RNA, 497 nt
Filed under: uncultured bacterium
Lineage: Bacteria
Description: partial 16S ribosomal RNA
Rfam family: Bacterial small subunit ribosomal RNA
Source: RNAcentral